AGUUGUGCUAUACCUUUCAUUUCCUGUGAUAUUAAUUGAUGAAAUACUGAAGUUCUUCUCUCGACAUUCAGGAAUAAGAUUCAGUUUCAGAUUCAGACGUGCUGAUUUACUGCCAAAAAGAGAAAUACGUGACAAGUAAGCUCUCAGACAUGUACUCAGGGGAUGACUGUUGGAAGCUCGAGCACCUAAUGUUGCAGCUGAAAGAUUAGAUGAAGUACAGAACAAAUUUUGUUCCAACUGAAAAGACACGUGUUUUACUUUUUUUUUUUUUU
Molecule: unclassified non-coding RNA, 272 nt
Filed under: Hevea brasiliensis (rubber tree)
Lineage: Eukaryota; Viridiplantae; Streptophyta; Magnoliopsida; Malpighiales; Euphorbiaceae
Source: RNAcentral